CCUGAACGCUGGCGGCGUGGCUAAGACAUGCAAGUCGUACGGGGUGUAGCAAUACAUCCAGUGGCGGACGGGUGAGUAACGCGUAGGUAUCUAUCCUUGGGUGGGGGACAACGGUUGGAAACGACUGCUAAUACCGCAUGAUAACUGAGGUUUAAAGGCGCAAGUCGCCUGAGGAGGAGCCUGCGUACGAUUAGCUAGUUGGUGGGGUAAAGGCCUACCAAGGCUGUGAUCGUAGCUGGUCUGAGAGGAUGAUCAGCCACAUUGGGACUGAGACACGGCCCAAACUCCUACGGGAGGCAGCAGUGGGGAAUAUUGGACAAUGGGCGAAAGCCUGAUCCAGCAAUGCCGCGUGUGUGAAGAAGGUCUUCGGAUUGUAAAGCACUUUCGACGGGACG
This 395-nucleotide ribosomal RNA is filed under the name uncultured bacterium. RNAcentral describes it as "bacterial SSU rRNA". It matches the Rfam family "Bacterial small subunit ribosomal RNA", at positions 30 to 447 of the family's 1533-position model. The record is from RNAcentral.